This 83-nucleotide transfer RNA is filed under the name Nemania serpens. RNAcentral describes it as "tRNA-Glu". It matches the Rfam family "tRNA". From Rfam's summary of the family: Transfer RNA (tRNA) molecules are approximately 80 nucleotides in length. Their secondary structure includes four short double-helical elements and three loops (D, anti-codon, and T loops). Further hydrogen bonds mediate the characteristic L-shaped molecular structure. tRNAs have two regions of fundamental functional importance: the anti-codon, which is responsible for specific mRNA codon recognition, and the 3' end, to which the tRNAs corresponding amino acid is attached (by aminoacyl-tRNA synthetases). tRNAs cope with the degeneracy of the genetic code in two manners: having more than one tRNA (with a specific anti-codon) for a particular amino acid; and 'wobble' base-pairing, i.e. permitting non-standard base-pairing at the 3rd anti-codon position. Lineage: Eukaryota; Fungi; Ascomycota; Sordariomycetes; Xylariales; Xylariaceae. The record is from RNAcentral.
UCCGAAUUGGUGUAGUGGUUAACAUGGGGCGCUCUCAAAGAAGUGGAUCCGCCCUGCCCGGGGUUCGAUUCCCCGAUUCGGAG